AUGGCACAUCAUAAAAAAGGCUCAGGAAAAGGUUGGUUGCUAUGUCGGAAUCCAGGACUCUCUGAUGAUUUCAACAAGUGUGUUGACUUCAGCUUCACUAUAGACGAGUUUGAGCAGAAUUGGGCUGGGUUAAUGAUGAAGUAUGAGGCUAUGGCACACACGCAGUUUGAGAAGUUGUACGAAUACAGGUCAACUUGGGUGCCGUGCUACUUCAAACACAGGUUCUUUCCCUUCCUCCAGUCUACACAGCGUAGUGAGGGGUUCAACGCCGUCCUCAAAAGAUAUGUGAACCCACACAACUCAAUGUUGAACUUCGUCAAGCAAUAUGAAAAAAUACAGAACCACAUCCUUGCCAAGGAAGGCUGCAAUGAUUACAGGACACAACACCUUGAGAUUGAGUUGUGGUCCAACUUCCCAAUAGAGAAGCAAGCUUACAAAACCUAUACUAGAGACCUUUACCGCAAGUUUAGAGAAGAGUUUGAGCUGAUUGGACGUUAUAAUGCAUUCCAAGUUGGCGCUGAUGUGUUUGAGCUCAGACCGAACCAGGAAUUUGUU
Molecule: ribosomal RNA, 555 nt
Filed under: Triticum aestivum (bread wheat)
Lineage: Eukaryota; Viridiplantae; Streptophyta; Magnoliopsida; Poales; Poaceae
Description: partial small subunit ribosomal RNA
Source: RNAcentral